UACGAAGGGGGCUAGCGUUGUUCGGAAUUACUGGGCGUAAAGCGUACGUAGGCGGAUUGUUAAGUGAGGGGUGAAAUCCCGAGGCUCAACCUCGGAACUGCCUUUCAUACUGGCAAUCUUGAGUCCGGGAGAGGUGAGUGGAAUUCCUAGUGUAGAGGUGAAAUUCGUAGAUAUUAGGAAGAACACCAGUGGCGAAGGCGGCUCACUGGCCCGGAACUGACGCUGAGGUACGAAAGCGUGGGGAGCAAACAGG
RNAcentral lists this ribosomal RNA (253 nucleotides) under uncultured bacterium. Its description in RNAcentral is "partial 16S ribosomal RNA". It matches the Rfam family "Bacterial small subunit ribosomal RNA", at positions 524 to 776 of the family's 1533-position model. The record is from RNAcentral.